Molecule: microRNA precursor, 82 nt
Filed under: Spodoptera frugiperda (fall armyworm)
Lineage: Eukaryota; Metazoa; Arthropoda; Insecta; Lepidoptera; Noctuidae
Description: microRNA sfr-mir-2a precursor
Gene: sfr-mir-2a
Source: miRBase by way of RNAcentral
AAUGUGGUUUUGGCAUCAAAGUCGGCUUGUCAUAGGUCAUAACGUAGCUAUCACAGCCAGCUUUGAUGAGCAUGACCUCAUU